This 499-nucleotide ribosomal RNA is filed under the name uncultured Glomeromycotina. Its description in RNAcentral is "partial small subunit ribosomal RNA". It matches the Rfam family "Eukaryotic small subunit ribosomal RNA", at positions 591 to 1092 of the family's 1831-position model. The record is from RNAcentral. Lineage: Eukaryota; Fungi; Glomeromycota.
CCAAUAGCGUAUAUUAAAGUUGUUGCAGUUAAAAAGCUCGUAGUUGAAUUUCGGGAUCAAAUUGUCGGUCGUGCCUCGGUACGCACUGGUAUUAUUGGUUCCUACCUUCUGAAGAACCGCGAUGUCAUUAAUUUGGUGUCGUGGGGAAUCAGGACUGUUACUUUGAAAAAAUUAGAGUGUUUAAAGCAGGCUUACGCUUGAAUACAUUAGCAUGGAAUAAUGAAAUAGGACGUUUGAUUCUAUUUUGUUGGUUUCUAGGAUUGACGUAAUGAUUAAUAGGGAUAGUUGGGGGCAUUAGUAUUCAAUUGUCAGAGGUGAAAUUCUUGGAUUUAUUGAAGACUAACUACUGCGAAAGCAUUUGCCAAGGAUGUUUUCAUUAAUCAAGAACGAAAGUUAGGGGAUCGAAGACGAUCAGAUACCGUCGUAGUCUUAACCAUAAACUAUGCCGACUAGGGAUCGGAUGAUGUUAAUUUUUUAAUGACUCAUUCGGCGCCUUUCG